AGACCACGUGUCAAAUUUUCUGGUGAGACAGACUAAGGACCACAAACUCACACAACUGUUGUACAGUGCUCAUGCUAUCGGGCUUUGCCUUUGCAGGGCUGCUGCACUGAGCCUUCAGUGUUGUCUUGUUCAUCGCAGAAAAGAAGGAGAGAUCCAAUGCUAAACUAACUUUUCUCAGUGAAUCCAUUCAGCUGAACCCGUGACCCAGGAGAACACUGCCAUGAGAUUUGACCUGGAGAAUCUGGGACAUGCAUGAACAAUGUCCCACUCUCACUGCAGAUGACAGCUCAUUCUAGAGGAACAGUACAGGGCUGCUUUUUGUGUUUUGAUUUGAAUUAGAAAACCAUCCACCCCUUGCCAGAUCCAUGGAUAGAGGUCUUCCCAUCACAGAAGACUAUGGCAAGGGAAGAUCCCAUCCUUCCUUACCUUUUCUUUCUCCGAAGUUCAAUGGAUGUAUGCCACUAAUUCUCCCAAAACAACUCUACAUUUCCUGGGCUGAAGACACUGAGUAACUGAAUUGUUCCCAAGAUUUAAAGAGCAUCAUGAUCUUCUCUGUUGGAUCUUUCCAGGGCUUUUUACUGACUUCUCAAGGAAGAAGAUCCAUGAUCAUUGUACUUCCUAGGGUCUGCUUUUAGUCAGGACAUUUUACUAACUCCUGUUCUAGUCACCCACAAAGCAAAUCUGCAGAACUAGAGGAAAAAGAUGCCCUGGGAGUAAGGAAGGCUGCCCUGAGAUGCCUGCAGGCGGAGCUGGGAAUUCCCCAGG
Long non-coding RNA from Heterocephalus glaber (naked mole-rat), 765 nucleotides. The record is from Ensembl. NCBI's taxonomy places the organism in Eukaryota, Metazoa, Chordata, Mammalia, Rodentia, Bathyergidae.